RNAcentral lists this ribosomal RNA (403 nucleotides) under Verrucomicrobiota bacterium. RNAcentral describes it as "Verrucomicrobia bacterium partial 16S ribosomal RNA". It matches the Rfam family "Bacterial small subunit ribosomal RNA", at positions 355 to 776 of the family's 1533-position model. Lineage: Bacteria; Pseudomonadati; Verrucomicrobiota. The record is from RNAcentral.
UGGGGAAUAUUGCACAAUGGGCGCAAGCCUGAUGCAGCAACGCCGCGUGAACGAUGAAGGUCUUCGGAUCGUAAAGUUCUGUUGCAGGGGAAGACAAUGACGGUACCCUGUGAGGAAGCCCCGGCUAACUACGUGCCAGCAGCCGCGGUAAUACGUAUGGGGCGAGCGUUGUCCGGAAUUAUUGGGCGUAAAGGGUACGUAGGCGGUCUAUUAAGUCAGGUGUGAAAGCGUGAGGCUUAACCUCAUUAAGCACUUGAAACUGAUAGACUUGAGUGAAGGAGAGGAAAGUGGAAUUCCUAGUGUAGCGGUGAAAUGCGUAGAUAGUAGGAGGAAUACCGGUGGCGAAGGCGACUUUCUGGACUUUUACUGACGCUCAGGUACGAAAGCGUGGGGAGCAAACAGG